RNAcentral lists this ribosomal RNA (253 nucleotides) under uncultured bacterium. RNAcentral's name for it is "partial 16S ribosomal RNA". It matches the Rfam family "Bacterial small subunit ribosomal RNA", at positions 524 to 776 of the family's 1533-position model. The record is from RNAcentral.
UACGGAGGGGGCAAGCGUUAUUCGGAAUUAUUGGGCGUAAAGGGCGCGUAGGCGGCUAGAUGUGUCAAAGGUGAAAUCCCUCGGCUCAACUGAGGAACUGCCUUUGAAACUGUCUGGCUUGAGGCCGGGAGAGGGUAGCGGAAUUCCCAGUGUAGCGGUGAAAUGCGCAGAUAUCAGGAGGAACACCGGUGGCGAAGGCGGCAUUCUGGACCAUAACUGACACUGAGAGACGAAAGCCAGGGGAGCAAACGGG